AUUGAACGCUGGCGGCAGGCCUAACACAUGCAAGUCGAGCGGAUGAAGGGAGCUUGCUCCUGGAUUCAGCGGCGGACGGGUGAGUAAUGCCUAGGAAUCUGCCUGGUAGUGGGGGAUAACGUCCGGAAACGGGCGCUAAUACCGCAUACGUCCUGAGGGAGAAAGUGGGGGAUCUUCGGACCUCACGCUAUCAGAUGAGCCUAGGUCGGAUUAGCUAGUUGAUGGGGUAAAGGCCUACCAAGGCGACGAUCCGUAACUGGUCUGAGAGGAUGAUCAGUCACACUGGAACUGAGACACGGUCCAGACUCCUACGGGAGGCAGCAGUGGGGAAUAUUGGACAAUGGGCGAAAGCCUGAUCCAGCCAUGCCGCGUGUGUGAAGAAGGACUUCGGAUUGUAAAGCACUUUAAGUUGGGAGGAAGGGCAGUAAGUUAAUACCUUGCUGUUUUGACGUUACCAACAGAAUAAGCACCGGCUAACUUCGUG
This 484-nucleotide ribosomal RNA is filed under the name uncultured bacterium. Its description in RNAcentral is "partial 16S ribosomal RNA". It matches the Rfam family "Bacterial small subunit ribosomal RNA", at positions 30 to 507 of the family's 1533-position model. The record is from RNAcentral.